GUAGAUAUCAAGAGGAAGACUCGUGGCGAAGGCGAGUUCCUGGACAUAAACUGACGCUGAGGUACGAAGGCUAGGGUAGCGAAAGGGAUUAGAUACCCCUGUAGUCCUAGCAGUAAACGGUGCACGCUUGGUGUGGGGGGAAUCGACCCCCUCCGUGCCGGAGCAAACGCGUUAAGCGUGCCGCCUGGGGAGUACGGUCGCAAGAUUAAAACUCAAAGAAAUUGACGGGGACCCGCACAAGCGGUGGAGUAUGUGGCUUAAUUCGAUGCAACGCGAAGAACCUUACCAAGGCUUGACAUCCCGUGACAGCUAGUGAAAGCUAGAGUUCUCUUAGGAGACACGGAGACAGGUGCUGCAUGGCCGUCGUCAGCUCGUGUCGUGAGAUGUUUGGUUAAGUCCAGCAACGAGCGCAACCCCUGUUGUCAGUUACCAGCAAGUAAAGUUGGGGACUCCGGCAAGACUGCCCAGAUCAACUGGGAGGAAGGUGGGGACGACGUCAGGUCAGUAUGGCCCUUAUGCCUUGGGCUGCACACGUACUACAAUGCCCAGUACAGAGGGAAGCCAGUUCGCGAGAACGAGCAGAUCCCGAAAAGUGGGCCCAGUUCGGAUUGUAGGCUGCAACUCGCCUACAUGAAGCCGGAAUCGCUAGUAAUGGCACAUCAGCUACGGUGCCGUGAAUACGUUCCCGGGUCUUGUACACACCGCCCGUCACAUCAUGGAAGCCGGUCGCGCCCGAAGUAUCUGAAGCUAACCGAAAGGGAGCAAGGUCCUAAGGCGAGACUGGUAACUGGGAUG
This 795-nucleotide ribosomal RNA is filed under the name uncultured bacterium. Its description in RNAcentral is "bacterial SSU rRNA". It matches the Rfam family "Bacterial small subunit ribosomal RNA", at positions 690 to 1482 of the family's 1533-position model. The record is from RNAcentral.